CGGCAUGCUUAACACAUGCAAGUCGUACGAGAAAGUUGGCUUCGGCCGAUGAGUAAAGUGGCGCACGGGUGAGUAAUGCGUGGAUAAUCUGCCCUUUAGUUGGGAAUAACGUACCGAAAGGUGCGCUAAUACCUGAUAAUACUGCAUAACUACUGUUGUGUAGUCAAAGAAGGCCUCUGUUUACAAGCUUUUGCUGAAGGAUGAGUCCGCGUACCAUUAGCUGGUUGGUGGGGUAAUGGCCUACCAAGGCUACGAUGGUUAGCUGGUCUGAGAGGAUGAUCAGCCACACUGGAACUGAGACACGGUCCAGACUCCUACGGGAGGCAGCAGUGAGGAAUAUUGCGCAAUGGGGGCAACCCUGACGCAGCAACGCCGCGUGAGUGAGGAAGGUUUUCGGACCGUAAAGCUCUGUCGAGCGGGAAGAAGUGUACCAUGGCUAAUAUCCAUGAUAUUUGACGGUACCGCUAGAGGAAGCACCGGCUAACUCCGUG
RNAcentral lists this ribosomal RNA (491 nucleotides) under uncultured bacterium. RNAcentral describes it as "bacterial SSU rRNA". It matches the Rfam family "Bacterial small subunit ribosomal RNA", at positions 40 to 507 of the family's 1533-position model. The record is from RNAcentral.